UGUGGUGGGUUCAAAGCGCUGAAACAUUAACCAGACCUUGGGCCAGCGUCUGUAGUUGCCGCUGGGUGCCCAGAGCAGGGCUCCCGGGAGCGGGAAAUGAGGGUGGCACUGCUGUUAUCCGCGUGGAGAAAGGGCGCAGCGCUGUUUGCUCAGCGCGGACGGAAGCGCUGGUGGCAGCCCCGAGGCGCUGGGCGAGAACAAGGUACAGCUACCACGGGGCACAGCUACAACAGGGCACAGCUACAAAGGGACACAGCUACAACAGGGCACAGCUACAACAGGGCACAGCAAUAAUGAGGCACAGCUACAAAGGGACACAGCUACAACAGGGCACAGCUACAACAGGGCACAGCAAUAAUGAGGCACAGCUACAAAGGGACACAGCUACAACAGGGCACAGCUACAACAGGGCACAGCAAUAAUGAGGCACAGCUACAAAGGGACACAGCUACAACAGGGCACAGCUACAACAGGGCACAGCAAUAAUGAGGCACAGCUACAAAGGGACACAGCUACAACAGGGCACAGCUACAACAGGGCACAGCAAUAAUGAGGCACAGCUACAAAGGGACACAGCUACAACAGGGCACAGCAAUAACAGGGCACAGCUACAACAGGGCACAGCAAUAACGAGGUACAGCUAUAACAGGGCACAGCAAUAACGAGGUACACCUAUAAUAAGGUAUAACCUCAGGCAAAAGCCCUGACUGUAAGCCUGCCCCUGACCCCAAAUGAGGUAAGACUUGUGGGAAGAACAAAUAUCAUUUAUGAAAUUGUAGGCUGCAAUAGCAGGGGAAAAGAAGAAUGCUAGAGCUGCUUCUGGGCCCACACCUCAGAUGGUUUGGAGCUGGGUGGUGCUUUGGUGGUGUUUUUUCUUUUUGACAGUGGUGAGGUGUCCUGAAGAUCAGGUGAGGAGAUAUGAGGAACCAGAAAGCAUUUCUGAGCAUUCAAGUGUUGUAAUCAUGUUACUGCUCCCUGAGCUCAGCUGACACAGGAGACAGGUAAACAUCUCCCACUGCCCAGGUAAGUGACAGUAUAUAAAUCCUUAGAACACCCCGAGGAAUAACAAAUCUUUUGCAACUUUGCCUUUGAACUCUGAAGAGUUAGGCUUGCAUGAUGGAUGGCAGCGGCGCCCAGCCGUAUUCUGAGGCAUAGCACAGCUCCCAACUCUCUUGCAGAGGUUUUGUCCUCAGCUGGAGGGAGAGUACAGCAAGCUGUGCGUCAGCGCCGACUCUUGCAGCUGUAGAAACUUGUCAUUUCCUUUCCAAACACCAGCACCCUCAGCAAGGCAGUUGGCCUUGAGCCAAAAGCCAUUCCUGUAGUGUCUGUUCCUGCUAUAUGCAUAUGUAAUGUUAACUUACCUGAUUCCCCACGUGAGUUUCCCCACAACCACUGCCACAUAUCUGUGUCUUGUCUGUGUGGUGGCUUUGGGAGCAGCCUCUUCCAUUAUCAAGCCUUAUGAGUUUACCUGAGAGUGUGU
This is a long non-coding RNA of Ficedula albicollis (Collared flycatcher), 1480 nucleotides long. RefSeq lists it as uncharacterized. Lineage: Eukaryota; Metazoa; Chordata; Aves; Passeriformes; Muscicapidae. The record is from RefSeq and is a predicted model, not a curated record. The transcript is spliced from 3 exons.